This 1326-nucleotide ribosomal RNA is filed under the name Triticum aestivum (bread wheat). RNAcentral's name for it is "partial small subunit ribosomal RNA". The record is from RNAcentral. Lineage: Eukaryota; Viridiplantae; Streptophyta; Magnoliopsida; Poales; Poaceae.
UAGAAUAGAGAAAGAGACGGGCCGGUGAGGAAGACAAAGAGGGUGCGGUGUGUGAGAGGGUGGAUUUGGAUUUGGAUCCAGUGGACGGCAGCGGCGGCGGACUGAACGGCCGGCUAAACGAGCGCGACAACGGCGGAGAGGGUGGUGGUUGCCGCGGAGGGUUUCGGAGGAAGAUCGUACACCAAGAAGGGGUACAAGGUUGGGGUUCCACUACGGAAUUGUCUUCCAUCCUAUCCUCUUCUCCCUCCCUCUAGGUGGCGCUGACUUCUUCCGGCCCGCUACUGGUACCGUGCGGGUCUAGCCGGUCGUGGCAGCUGCAGCUCGAGGAGACGAGGAUCACGGUCUAAGCGGAGCCCGAGGUAGAGGUGUUGGUGCGUGGAUGUCGGUGGUACCUUCCACGAGACACACGAACGAAGAAGGGAAGGACCCUGCGACGACGAGGCUGCGGUACCUGUUAAGGUGACUUGUUUGGUUCCAUAUCUUUCUGUUUGUGCUUUUUCCGAUGGACAACCGACAGCCACGACUCGACUGCCUGUCACACCUUCUUCUUCCACACUAGAACCGUCGCCGGGUACUUCGUAAAAAAAGAAACGUACAACUAGUGAUGACGUGACAAGUCCAAGAAUUAGUUCACUGACUAACUGACACUAACACCCAGUGUUCGUUCCCUUACGAUUGGCACCACCACCACCACUAACUUCUCGGGAAUUAGUUAAGCCGGUACAUCUAACCUCGUCGUUGGACCCUAUAACGUGGUAGAUCGAGGUAAACAGACUAAGUAGAAGAAAAGGACCAGAUAGUUGACCUCCUUAGAUGUCUAAGCACUUAUGCAAGGAUUGGAGCGCGUUAGCUAUCAGCCAGACUAGAACAGGAGGUUGCUGGUUCUCAAGGCUCUACUUACACACCACGGGGAGCGCUUUGUAUCCCUGUACCGUCUUUCAUCGUUCAGGGGUUCAACUAGAUUCUACAAGGCCACAAGUGAAAACAAGUAUUGUACCAUCUAUGUAAAACAAGUAUAUCUUCAACUACGGCCGAACCACUAACUUCCUAACCAGAGAAAGUAUUAUGAGGGAGACAUGGCUUUAUGAACAUCAACCCCGGGGGUUAAUGUUCUUAAAGCAAUGUCUCCCUCAUAAUCAUUAGUUCACUAGCUUGUUAACCAGAGAAUCCUCGAAUCGGAAAUAUAAAACGACGUCAUGUCCAGAACAUACAGCUGAAUACAUAAUGGAAGUACCAACAUCGUUUGAACUCACUUAUAUUGUUUACAAGUUAUAUACAACUUAUUUACAUGAUCACUUACCACAGAACACUACUUAUCUUCUCACG